UGGAGGAAUUCCCGAGUGGCCAAAGGGGGCAGACUGUAAAUCUGUUGCGUUAGCUUCGAUGGUUCAAAUCCAUCUUCCUCCACCAA
Molecule: transfer RNA, 86 nt
Filed under: Clostridium butyricum 5521
Lineage: Bacteria; Bacillati; Bacillota; Clostridia; Eubacteriales; Clostridiaceae
Also listed under: 1 other name
Description: tRNA-Tyr
Rfam family: tRNA
About the family: Transfer RNA (tRNA) molecules are approximately 80 nucleotides in length. Their secondary structure includes four short double-helical elements and three loops (D, anti-codon, and T loops). Further hydrogen bonds mediate the characteristic L-shaped molecular structure. tRNAs have two regions of fundamental functional importance: the anti-codon, which is responsible for specific mRNA codon recognition, and the 3' end, to which the tRNAs corresponding amino acid is attached (by aminoacyl-tRNA synthetases). tRNAs cope with the degeneracy of the genetic code in two manners: having more than one tRNA (with a specific anti-codon) for a particular amino acid; and 'wobble' base-pairing, i.e. permitting non-standard base-pairing at the 3rd anti-codon position.
Source: RNAcentral